RNAcentral lists this ribosomal RNA (253 nucleotides) under uncultured bacterium. Its description in RNAcentral is "partial 16S ribosomal RNA". It matches the Rfam family "Bacterial small subunit ribosomal RNA", at positions 524 to 776 of the family's 1533-position model. The record is from RNAcentral.
UACGAAGGGGGCUAGCGUUGCUCGGAAUCACUGGGCGUAAAGCGCACGUAGGCGGCUUCUUAAGUCAGGGGUGAAAUCCUGGAGCUCAACUCCAGAACUGCCCUUGAUACUGAGGAGCUCGAGUCCGGAAGAGGUGAGUGGAACUGCGAGUGUAGAGGUGAAAUUCGUAGAUAUUCGCAAGAACACCAGUGGCGAAGGCGGCUCACUGGUCCGAUACUGACGCUGAGGUGCGAAAGCGUGGGGAGCAAACAGG